GCAUAGUGCUGUAGGCCAUUGCAUGAACCAUCCUGAUGAAUAGGCAGGUGGGAGAUGACAGUGUGGGGUGACAGGCUUUUCACAGCUUCUGAUAGGUUAAUGCAAGCUGCUAAGCACUGUAAAGGAUCCUCAGCAUUUAACCACCAUCUAUUUCCAUUUAAAGGAUUGUGUGCUGAAUCUAAUAUGUCAUCAAUGUGGUUUUCCACAAAUGCAAUGCGUGCAUCAUAGCAGAGCUUCUCUAUGCCCCCUGCAUAAAGACUUGCUAAAUGUACUUUUAGCCAGCGCAAUCCUGACUUUCCUAGUGGUCGUCCUUCAGCAAAUUCGAGGAUUCCUCGACAGAGAUCAGAGCUCAAG
Molecule: unclassified non-coding RNA, 354 nt
Filed under: Hevea brasiliensis (rubber tree)
Lineage: Eukaryota; Viridiplantae; Streptophyta; Magnoliopsida; Malpighiales; Euphorbiaceae
Source: RNAcentral